GAACGCUGGCGGCAUGCCUAACACCUGCAAGUCGAACGAGACCUUCGGGUCUAGUGGCGCCCGGGUGCGUAACGCGUGGGAACCUGCCCUUAGGUUCGGAAUAACUCCCCGAAAGGGGUGCUAAUACCGGAUAAUGUCUUCGGACCAAAGAUUUAUCGCCUUUGGAUGGGCCCGCGUUGGAUUAGCUAGUUGGUAGGGUAAAAGCCUACCAAGGCGACGAUCCAUAGCUGGUCUGAGAGGAUGAUCAGCCACACUGGGACUGAGACACGGCCCAGACUCCUACGGGAGGCAGCAGUGGGGAAUAUUGGACAAUGGGCGAAAGCCUGAUCCAGCAAUGCCGCGUGAGUGAUGAAGGCCUUAGGGUUGUAAAGCUCUUUUACCCGGGAUGAUAAUGACAGUACCGGGAGAAUAAGCUCCGGCUAACUCCGUG
RNAcentral lists this ribosomal RNA (430 nucleotides) under uncultured bacterium. Its description in RNAcentral is "partial 16S ribosomal RNA". It matches the Rfam family "Bacterial small subunit ribosomal RNA", at positions 31 to 507 of the family's 1533-position model. The record is from RNAcentral.